This 263-nucleotide ribosomal RNA is filed under the name uncultured Staphylococcus sp. RNAcentral describes it as "partial 16S ribosomal RNA". It matches the Rfam family "Bacterial small subunit ribosomal RNA", at positions 99 to 355 of the family's 1533-position model. The record is from RNAcentral. Lineage: Bacteria; Bacillati; Bacillota; Bacilli; Caryophanales; Staphylococcaceae.
CGGACGGGUGAGUAACACGUGGAUAACCUACCUAUAAGACUGGGAUAACUUCGGGAAACCGGAGCUAAUACCGGAUAAUAUAUUGAACCGCAUGGUUCAAUAGUGAAAGACGGUUUUGCUGUCACUUAUAGAUGGAUCCGCGUCGCAUUAGCUAGUUGGUAAGGUAACGGCUUACCAAGGCAGCGAUGCGUAGCCGACCUGAGAGGGUGAUCGGCCACACUGGAACUGAGACACGGUCCAGACUCCUACGGGAGGCAGCAGCC